RNAcentral lists this ribosomal RNA (243 nucleotides) under Triticum aestivum (bread wheat). RNAcentral describes it as "partial small subunit ribosomal RNA". The record is from RNAcentral. Lineage: Eukaryota; Viridiplantae; Streptophyta; Magnoliopsida; Poales; Poaceae.
AUGUCAGAUUGCUAUGAAGAAUGUCGAGACCCACCACGACUUUACCUUCUCGACAGAUUUGAUAAUGCUGGUGUUGGGACUUGUUUGAAGAGAUAUUCUGAUCCAUCAUACUUCAAGAAAUCAUUGGAUGUGAUGAGAGCAGACAAGACUGCACAUCUCCAAAAAGAAAGGAGAUCUCACAAAAUCAAGGAUUCGCGGUUGAUUUCAGGGGAGAUCACUAUUGUGAGGAAAUCAAGAAGUUGA